UAGUAUAAGUCCAAGAAGGAUGAAACUGCGAACGGCUCAUUAAACAGUUAUAGUUUCUUCGAUUAGUAAGUACAAGGAUAACUUUGGGAAUGAUAAAGAUAAUACUUGAAACGAUCUUGGAUGUAGAGAUACAUUCAGGCCUUUGCAUCGUUUACUGGUGUGAAGAGAAAGGAUAUCCAAAGUGAAAGUGGGUAUCAUGACAAUUGUAGAAUAGCAAUAUUUGACAAGUAAUCGAUGAGAAUAUCUGAUCUAUCAACUAGUUGGUAGUAUCGAGGACUACCAAGGUUAUAACGGAUAACGAGGAAUUAGGGUUUGACAUCGGAGAGGGAGCUUUCAAGAUGGCUACCACUUCCAAGGAAGGCAGCAGGCGCGUAAAUUACCCAAUUUCAACAGAUGGAAGAGGUAGUGACGACAAAUAACUCACGACAUGUGUAAGCAUGUCUUGAAGGAAUGAGUAAGAAGCAAAGAGUCUUACGAAAUCAA
RNAcentral lists this ribosomal RNA (483 nucleotides) under Entamoeba hartmanni. Its description in RNAcentral is "SSU rRNA". It matches the Rfam family "Eukaryotic small subunit ribosomal RNA", at positions 61 to 547 of the family's 1831-position model. Lineage: Eukaryota; Evosea; Mastigamoebida; Endamoebidae. The record is from RNAcentral.